CACGUAGGGACCAAGCGUUGUCCGGAUUCAUUGGGCGUAAAGAGCUCGUAGGCGGUUCGAUAAGUCGGGUGUGAAACCUCCAGGCUCAACCUGGAGACGCCACCCGAUACUGUCGUGACUAGAGUCCAGUAGGGGAGCGUGGAAUUCCUGGUGUAGCGGUGAAAUGCGCAGAUAUCAGGAGGAACACCGGUGGCGAAGGCGGGUCUCUGGGCCGAUACUGACGCUGAGGAGCGAAAGCGUGGGGAGCGAACAGG
Molecule: ribosomal RNA, 254 nt
Filed under: uncultured bacterium
Lineage: Bacteria
Description: partial 16S ribosomal RNA
Rfam family: Bacterial small subunit ribosomal RNA
Source: RNAcentral